Molecule: long non-coding RNA, 442 nt
Filed under: Homo sapiens (human)
Lineage: Eukaryota; Metazoa; Chordata; Mammalia; Primates; Hominidae
Description: HSALNT0321912
Source: RNAcentral
UUCUUAAACAACCUUAUAUGAGCAGUUCUCUUCUCAGGCUACUCUAGCACAGCUGUGGCCAGCUGCACUCAGCCUUCAGCCCAGCCAUGGAUUAUAUACCAGAUGAUUCCUGUUCAUUGAAAAUACUGGAAACAACAAGGAAUACAUCACACUGCCGAGAAAUUGGAUCCACCCAGAGAGACCAAAGGAAAGCUAUGACAUUUGAGGAACAGGCAAACAUUUCUCCUGCAAGCAUUUACUGAAGCAGGUAUUUAAGUUUAAUAAUAUCUACAUUUUCACCCAGAUCUUUAUAGAUGCAAGAAUUAUAAUACCAAUGAAAGCUUUAAAUAUGAUACAAAUGACCUUGUAAAGACAUUUCAUAAACUCGUUCAUUUAAAAAAGUAACAAAAUGUUUCUAACACAAGGAUACAUUUUUAAGAGAAUAAAUGGGUGUUUGAAUGAA